AGGGUCGCCGGUCCGAACCUGUUCGUGUAUCUGGUUGAGCCUGGCUCCUCUUGGGGAACGUUGCUGCGCUUGAUUGCGUGGCGCGGAAUUCAAGACUUUUACUUUGAGGAAAUUAGAGUGUUCACGGCAGGCCAAUCGCCUUGAAUACAUUAGCAUGGAAUAAUAAUAUAGGACCUUGGUUCUAUUUUGU
Molecule: ribosomal RNA, 190 nt
Filed under: uncultured marine eukaryote
Lineage: Eukaryota
Description: partial 18S ribosomal RNA
Source: RNAcentral